GAUGAACGCUGGCGGCGUGCCUAAUACAUGCAAGUCGAGCGAACAGACGAGGAGCUUGCUCCUCUGACGUUAGCGGCGGACGGGUGAGUAACACGUGGAUAACCUACCUAUAAGACUGGGAUAACUUCGGGAAACCGGAGCUAAUACCGGAUAAUAUAUUGAACCGCAUGGUUCAAUAGUGAAAGACAGUUUUGCUGUCACUUAUAGAUGGAUCCGCGCCGCAUUAGCUAGUUGGUAAGGUAACGGCUUACCAAGGCAACGAUGCGUAGCCGACCUGAGAGGGUGAUCGGCCACACUAGAACUGAGACACGGUCCAGACUCCUACGGGAGGCAGCAGUAGGGAAUCUUCCGCAAUGGGCGAAAGCCUGACGGAGCAACGCCGCGUGAGUGAUGAAGGUCUUCGGAUCGUAAAACUCUGUUAUUAGGGAAGAACAAAUGUGUAAGUAACUAUGCACGUCUUGACGGUACCUAAUCAGAAAGCCACGGCUAACUACGUG
This 497-nucleotide ribosomal RNA is filed under the name uncultured bacterium. RNAcentral describes it as "partial 16S ribosomal RNA". It matches the Rfam family "Bacterial small subunit ribosomal RNA", at positions 28 to 507 of the family's 1533-position model. The record is from RNAcentral.